UAAGAAAAAUAUUAAUACAAGUGUGCACAAAAUAAUAGUAAUGCUAUAAUAAUCUCUUGCUUCCAACCCUUGCAAAACACCUGCAACAGGAACAUCCUAAGCCAAAAAUGUGAAAGCAACAUGUAAAAUUGUUUAGAUACUGAUCCACAUCGAUCUUUACAACCAAAAGGGAAAACUGCUAAAGUAAAGAACAUGAAAUAUCAGAAAAUCACCCUUUCAGGGAAAAUCUAGGUAAACUGAAUGUCUGAGAUGUAGCAACUCUUUAGACAUGAUACAUUAAAAGGAUCACAGGAAUUCGUAUAAAUAUUGACCUUAAUAACCGAUUACAACAACCUACAGCACCUCCCAAAAUAUAUAGAAGACAAACACAAUCAUGUACCAGUUAUUUGGAAAGCGGUACAGGAAUUUAACUUAAUUAGCCACAGUUACUGGUUGAACAUUGCCACUCAAUUAAACAGAAGCCUCAGAAACAACACCAAAAAGGUUUCUGAAGGUCAUCAUAAAAUUCAAUUGAAAACAGAAAUCUGCAGGUCAGUAAACGAAUUAGAAUUGUCGGACUUCUGCUGCUAAUAUGUAAAACUUUGGAUUUCUCCUUUCUUGACUACAUCAUGUAAAUCUGAGAAUCGCUCAAUUAAAUCGCUGAGAAAUGGGCUAAAAAAGGCUAAACUUGAUAUAAAGUAUCCAAGAAAGUAAGUUGGUAUACAGUAUCUGCUGAAUGAACCACUUUAACUGAAUAUGUUCACAUCUGUAGCUCUUGUGUUGAAAGAUGUAACAAUUUUCAAGAGUAAAUAUAACAGUUUUCAAUGUUAGAGUUCUAUAUACCACAGGCAGAAUGAGAUAUACUGUAAGCAAAG
Molecule: long non-coding RNA, 854 nt
Filed under: Mytilus galloprovincialis (Mediterranean mussel)
Lineage: Eukaryota; Metazoa; Mollusca; Bivalvia; Mytilida; Mytilidae
Source: RNAcentral